Molecule: ribosomal RNA, 451 nt
Filed under: uncultured bacterium
Lineage: Bacteria
Description: bacterial SSU rRNA
Rfam family: Bacterial small subunit ribosomal RNA
Source: RNAcentral
GUGGGGAAUAUUGGACAAUGGGGGGAACCCUGAUCCAGCCAUGCCGCGUGUGUGAAGAAGGCCUUUUGGUUGUAAAGCACUUUAAGCGAGGAGGAGGCUACCGAGAUUAAUACUCUUGGAUAGUGGACGUUACUCGCAGAAUAAGCACCGGCUAACUCUGUGCCAGCAGCCGCGGUAAUACAGAGGGUGCAAGCGUUAAUCGGAUUUACUGGGCGUGAAGCGCGCGUAGGUGGCCAAUUAAGUCAAAUGGGAAAUCCCCGAGCUUAACUUGGGAAUUGCAUUCGAUACUGGUUGGCUAGAGUAUGGGAGAGGAUGGUAGAAUUCCAGGUGUAGCGGUGAAAUGCGUAGAGAUCUGGAGGAAUACCGAUGGCGAAGGCAGCCAUCUGGCCUAAUACUGACACUGAGGUGCGAAAGCAUGGGGAGCAAACAGGAUUAGAAACCCCGGUAGUCC